GCAAUUUAUCUUUGAUUGGUGAACCAUCACAAAUUAAGGAGAAUACAUCCACAUCUCCCUCCCCUCAUCCAGAGCCUCCUCAGGAAUAAUCACCUCUUCAGGUGGCCUCUGGGUCGGCGACAAGCCAUUCGACUUCCCUAUUCCAGUUAUCCUUGUGCAGAUUAUCCUCAUCUUCGUCAUCUCUCGUCUCAUUCGUUCCAUCCUCAAGCACUUAGGCCAACCCCAAUUUAUCUCCGAUCUCAUGUUGAGGGUCUUUAAUGAAAUUUAUCUCCAAAAUUGAGAGUUCACGAGACUACAAAGGUCCCAUCGGCCCUCGAUUUAGGCCCAUCGGUCUCCGAUCCGAACAAGAAGCUCCUAGUCAUCAAGCGCGCCUCCAAAGACCGCCC
This is a long non-coding RNA of Asparagus officinalis (garden asparagus), 386 nucleotides long. RefSeq lists it as uncharacterized. The record is from RefSeq and is a predicted model, not a curated record. Lineage: Eukaryota; Viridiplantae; Streptophyta; Magnoliopsida; Asparagales; Asparagaceae. The transcript has 3 exons.